Cucumis melo (muskmelon) is the source of this 2335-nucleotide RNA transcript. RefSeq lists it as uncharacterized. The transcript has 6 exons. NCBI's taxonomy places the organism in Eukaryota, Viridiplantae, Streptophyta, Magnoliopsida, Cucurbitales, Cucurbitaceae. The record is from RefSeq and is a predicted model, not a curated record.
AAUAAUAAGAAAAAAUUUAUUUGAUAUAUUCCCUUCACGUUCUUCUAUAUUUGCCUCGAACUUUAAUUUCUUCACUCUCCCUUUUCAGCCCUUCGCAUAAGUAAUGGAAUUACACAUUCCUAUAGGAAACUUAUAGGCUUGCUCAGUUUAAAGCUAAGCUAAAGAGUUUGCUUUACUUUUUGGGAUUCUGAGCUUCCAAUUGCUGUUUUCUUUUCCAAUGCAAUGGAAAAGGAAGAACAGCCCAAGUUUUCUUCUACCCCUAAUCUUGAACACCAAGCCAAUGGAGUUUCAAGUAAGAAUGAGAAGAGUGUAUCCGAUGGGACAGAUGCAGCAAAAAACGCCAAAUCUGGAUGCCAAUUAUUAGAGAAUGAGUCUCCCCAUAAUCAGCAUUACACUGCGCUUCUUCAAAGCGCUCACUAUCCUGAACAUGCAGAAAAGCCUUCACCGUCAACUGCCCCUUCCGCCGUGAAUGAGCGACAUCAGCUGCCGCAAAGCCCGGCUAAUCUUCAGCAUCAGCUUAGCCAGCCUCCGCAGCCGCAGCAAUUUGUUCUUUCUUCACAACCCUUUUGGAUACAGCCACAGCCGAGUAUUUCCUUUGGAGCAACUGAAGGUAGCUGGCAAUCUCCGGCGGCGUUUGGCGCUGGAGCCUCGCCGAUAUGUCAACCCCAAGCUCCUAAUUUCUAUUACCCAGUUGGAUAUCCGACAUAUCCAGGUUUUCCAGGUUCCAGGGAUGGCUCAAUUUGGUGGGGUCAAACACAACCAAUACUGUUUCCUGGAUUGUCCAAUUAUCCAAGAGCUUCAUGUGGUUUUGUAUCUUCUCAAUCUUGGCCAAUGCCAAUUCCUAGUUGUGCAACAUCUUCCUCUGGACAACCCCUUUUAAGAGGAGUCAUCAAACCACCUGAAAAGCUUUCUCAAAAGCAUAAGAAACUUUGGGAAGCUCAGUCUGCAGAAAAUGUACAAUUGUGGAGUAUGAUAGGAGAGUUGCAAGGGGAAUUAGCAGUCUACAAGGGCCGCUUGAGUAAGCUUGAAGCUGAAAUUUCAUGUUUAAGAUCUUCAGCUACUAAUGAGCCUGCUGUGGAAGUUGGAAAUGGUGACAUUACAUUGAGGGGACAACCAACGAAGCGAGGAAGGUUGAAACGAGGUACAGCCCCAGUUGGUUCACAAUCUCCUUUGCAGCCUCAUACACGAGUAAGAAAGCCAGCAGUUGGGAGAACAAAAGUAGAAGAUGCAAAACAAACUCUUCUUGGAAAAGAUAGCUUGAAUAAGGCGGAUGAUAAUAAACAUAAAUAUUUUACUUCCCUUGACAUUACAAAGCAAGACAAGAAUGAAGACAGUUCAACUACCAUCAAUCAAAACAAUGGGAUCGUGGAGAUUGAUGAUGACACUCUCAAGAUGCCUGCCUCUUUAGACAAUCAAGUUCUUGAACAAUGCUCUGAAAUUCAAUCAUGUGGAAUUGAAUUCAAGCCACCAUCAGUAUUGAAAUCCAAUUAUGAAGGAAUCAUCUCUGAAGACUCCGAACGAAAUGACUUUAGAAUAGCCUCCUCAACAAUCUACACCAAUGGAAAUGUUACCAGACAAGGAAUAUCUGGGUGGAACUUUAAACUCGUGGACGAAGCAGCCGAAUUGGGAUUUCCUCCUCCAGUAGUACACAAAACGGGGAACGAAGAUAUGGCAGAUGAAUUCAGCUCAGGACCUGAAGAGAUUGAAACACAAAAUGGUUCCUCCUGGUGUUGAAAGUAAGCUCUAAAUGAUCAAAUGUUGUUCUACCUCCAAUAUUAGGUAAUACACUAAAAUGAGCCAGAUAGUGGAUAAUUCUGCCCCAAUUGGCAAGCUACUGCCACUUGAUGGAGAUGGUUUGACCAAUAUUUUGUACAAGGGCAGAAUGGAUUCAGCUUGCUUAACAUGAAAUAAUUCUCUCUCUCCAUCUAUUGGUGGGGCGGUGGCGUUCUGAAAUGGGCAGCCGGCGUUGACAAAUCGGAGAGGAAACUGUUAACGGCGGUGACUGAGGGGUCAUCGGAGUCCUCAACUACGUUGACGGAGAAAUAAGGGCCUAAAAGUGGGAGUCGGAAACCGAGUUUUGAAAUGAAAAACGGACGAAUCGGUCAAGAUGUAGACUCUCUUACGCACCGGUCUAAAAGGGGUAUUAAUGACAGUCUACUAAUGGGAAAUUUCUGGUUCUACAUAGGUUUGGAGAAUUAGUUUCUUCUACUUGCCAUAAUAGCAUUAUAUAGAAAUGUUAAAUCCUAAAUAAUUUGAUCUUACUAGUUCGAAGAAAUUUAGAAUUCAUACUCUAGUGGAUCAAAAAUAGUAUAAUCUAUAAUUUAUAAACUCCUAU